GAUGAACGCUAGCGGCAGGCUUAAUACAUGCAAGUCGUGGGGCAGCAUGAGUAGCAAUACUUGAUGGCGACCGGCAAACGGGUGAGGAACACGUACACAACCUUCCUUCAAGCGGGGAAUAGCCCAGAGAAAUUUGGAUUAAAUACCCCAUAAUAUAUUUGAUAAGGCAUCUUAUUAAUAUUAAAGCUUCGGCACUUGAUGAUGGGUGUGCGGCUGAUUAGAUAGUUGGCGGGGUAACGGCCCACCAAAGUCUACGAUCAGUAGCUGAUGUGAGAGCAUGAUCAGCCACACGGGCACUGAGACACGGGCCCGACUCCUACGGGAGGCAGCAGUUAAAGGGAAUAUUGGACAAAUGGAGAAAGUACUGAUCCAGCC
RNAcentral lists this ribosomal RNA (375 nucleotides) under uncultured bacterium. Its description in RNAcentral is "bacterial SSU rRNA". It matches the Rfam family "Bacterial small subunit ribosomal RNA", at positions 28 to 393 of the family's 1533-position model. The record is from RNAcentral.